Molecule: ribosomal RNA, 433 nt
Filed under: uncultured bacterium
Lineage: Bacteria
Description: partial 16S ribosomal RNA
Rfam family: Bacterial small subunit ribosomal RNA
Source: RNAcentral
AACGAACGCUGGCGGCAUGCCUAACACAUGCAAGUCGAACGAGACCUUCGGGUCAAGUGGCGCACGGGUGCGUAACGCGUGGGAACCUGCCCUUAGGUUCGGAAUAACUCCCCGAAAGGGGUGCUAAUACCGGAUAAUGUCUUCGGACCAAAGAUUUAUCGCCUUUGGAUGGGCCCGCGUUGGAUUAGCUAGUGGGUAGGGGAAAAGCCUACCAAGGCGACGAUCCAUAGCUGGUCUGAGAGGAUGAUCAGCCACACUGGGACUGAGACACGGCCCAGACUCCUACGGGAGGCAGCAGUGGGGAAUAUUGGACAAUGGGCGAAAGCCUGAUCCAGCAAUGCCGCGUGAGUGAUGAAGGCCUUAGGGUUGUAAAGCUCUUUUACCCGGGAUGAUAAUGACAGUACCGGGAGAAUAAGCUCCGGCUAACUCCGUG